GCAUUGGUGGUUCAGUGGUAUAAUUCUCGACUUCUGUUCAGGAUAUGCUGGUUCGAUUCCAGGCCAGUGUA
This 71-nucleotide transfer RNA is filed under the name Loxodonta africana (African savanna elephant). It matches the Rfam family "tRNA". Rfam says of the family: Transfer RNA (tRNA) molecules are approximately 80 nucleotides in length. The record is from Rfam by way of RNAcentral. Lineage: Eukaryota; Metazoa; Chordata; Mammalia; Proboscidea; Elephantidae.